AGGACGAACGCUGGCGGCGUGCUUAACACAUGCAAGUCGAGCGGAAAGGCCACUUCGGUGGUACUCGAGCGGCGAACGGGUGAGUAACACGUGAGUAAUCUGCCCUCCACUUUGGGAUAGCCACCGGAAACGGUGAUUAAUACCGGAUAUGACCUCGCAUCGCAUGGUGUGUGGUGGUAAAGUUUUUCGGUGGGGGAUGGUGCUCGCGGCCUAUCAGCUUGAUGGUGGGUAAUGGCCUACCAUGGCUUCGACGGGUAGCCGGCCGUGGAGAGGGUCGACCGGCCACGACUGGGACUGACGACACGGCCCAGACCUCCGUACGGGAGCAGGCGAGGUGGGAAUGUUGGAUAAGUGGGCGGAAGCCUAGAUCCAGCAACGCCGCGUGAGGAUGACGGUCCGUUCGGUUAGUAACCUUCUUCAGCACGAGAACGGAGACGAAAGUGACGUA
This 448-nucleotide ribosomal RNA is filed under the name uncultured soil bacterium. Its description in RNAcentral is "bacterial SSU rRNA". It matches the Rfam family "Bacterial small subunit ribosomal RNA", at positions 26 to 465 of the family's 1533-position model. The record is from RNAcentral.